GAACGCUGGCGGCGUGCUUAACACAUGCAAGUCGAGCGGAAAGGCCCUUCGGGGUACUCGAGCGGCGAACGGGUGAGUAACACGUGAGUAACCUGCCCUUGGCUCUGGGAUAAGCCCGGGAAACUGGGUCUAAUACCGGAUACGACACACUCUCGCAUGAGGUGUGUGUGGAAAGUUUUUCGGCCAGGGAUGGACUCGCGGUCUAUCAGCUUGUUGGUGGGGUGAUGGCCUACCAAGGCGACGACGGAUAGCCGGCCUGAGAGGGUGACCGGCCACACUGGGACUGAGACACGGCCCAGACUCCUACGGGAGGCAGCAGUGGGGAAUAUUGCGCAAUGGGCGGAAGCCUGACGCAGCGACGCCGCGUGGGGGAUGAAGGCCUUCGGGUUGUAAACCUCUUUCACCACCGACGAAGCUAACGUGACGGUAGGUGGGGAAGAAGCGCCGGCUAACUACGUGCCAGCAGCCGCGGUAAUACGUAGGGCGCAAGCGUUGUCCGGAAUUAUUGGGCGUAAAGAGCUCGUAGGCGG
This 530-nucleotide ribosomal RNA is filed under the name Actinoallomurus oryzae. Its description in RNAcentral is "bacterial SSU rRNA". It matches the Rfam family "Bacterial small subunit ribosomal RNA", at positions 31 to 578 of the family's 1533-position model. The record is from RNAcentral. Lineage: Bacteria; Bacillati; Actinomycetota; Actinomycetes; Streptosporangiales; Thermomonosporaceae.